RNAcentral lists this ribosomal RNA (597 nucleotides) under bacterium E-1-0-10E. RNAcentral describes it as "bacterial SSU rRNA". It matches the Rfam family "Bacterial small subunit ribosomal RNA", at positions 371 to 957 of the family's 1533-position model. The record is from RNAcentral.
AUGGGGGGAACCCUGAUCCAGCCAUGCCGCGUGUGUGAAGAAGGCCUUAUGGUUGUAAAGCACUUUAAGCGAGGAGGAGGAGCUCUAAGUUAAUACCUAAGAUGCAUGUGGACGUUACUCGCAGAAUAAGCACCGGCUAACUCUGUGCCAGCAGCCGCGGUAAUACAGAGGGUGCGAGCGUUAAUCGGAUUUACUGGGCGUAAAGCGUACGUAGGCGGCUUUUUAAGUCGGAUGUGAAAUCCCUGAGCUUAACUUAGGAAUUGCAUUCGAUACUGGGAAGCUAGAGUAUGGGAGAGGAUGGUAGAAUUCCAGGUGUAGCGGUGAAAUGCGUAGAGAUCUGGAGGAAUACCGAUGGCGAAGGCAGCCAUCUGGCCUAAUACUGACGCUGAGGUACGAAAGCAUGGGGAGCAAACAGGAUUAGAUACCCUGGUAGUCCAUGCCGUAAACGAUGUCUACUAGCCGUUGGGGCCUUUGAGGCUUUAGUGGCGCAGCUAACGCGAUAAGUAGACCGCCUGGGGAGUACNGUCGCAAGACUANNACUCAAAUGAAUAGACGGGGGCNCGCACAAGCGGUGGAGCAUGUGGUUUAAUNCGAUGC